GGGGGCGUCACGGUUUCGACGGGGUUGCUUGUGGCAGAGAGGCAUGCCGGGGUGUGGACACCCGUAAUCGCUCACAAAACUAUAAGUGCCGAACCUCAAUUCGCGCUUGCUGCUUAAUUAAUUAGGUAGCCGAUUGCUUCCGCUUCGCCUACGGGCGGAUACCAAUCGUCGCACAGUAGGCUGGUCAAAGCUGUUCCGUCUGGACGGCAAUGACGAGAUCAAUCAGGCUGGUCGGUGUCGCGUCUUCGCCCGUUCUAAGCGCCAUUGACGAGACAAAGAUGAACCUGGGAAAAGCAUGAAUGCUCUCUGUUGGAAGUUUCUUCGGACGGGAGUUCAACUCUCCCCGCCUCCACCA
Molecule: transfer-messenger RNA, 355 nt
Filed under: Silvibacterium bohemicum
Lineage: Bacteria; Pseudomonadati; Acidobacteriota; Terriglobia; Terriglobales; Acidobacteriaceae
Description: Standard tmRNA
Rfam family: transfer-messenger RNA
About the family: Bacterial tmRNA, also known as 10Sa RNA or SsrA, is named for its dual tRNA and mRNA-like properties. Its role is to liberate the mRNA from a stalled ribosome. To accomplish this part of the tmRNA is used as a reading frame that ends in a translation stop signal.
Source: Rfam by way of RNAcentral